UGCUACUGGGAUAGCUCAGUUGGUAAAGCAUGAGACUCUUAAUCUCAGGGUUGUGGGUUUGAACCCCACAUUGGGCAA
This is a non-coding RNA of Podarcis lilfordi (Lilford's wall lizard), 78 nucleotides long. NCBI's taxonomy places the organism in Eukaryota, Metazoa, Chordata, Lepidosauria, Squamata, Lacertidae. The record is from the annotation of a GenBank genome assembly.